CUGGAAACAGAUGCUAAUACCGCAUAACAACUUGGACCGCAUGGUCCGAGCUUGAAAGAUGGCUUCGGCUAUCACUUUUGGAUGGUCCCGCGGCGUAUUAGCUAGAUGGUGGGGUAACGGCUCACCAUGGCAAUGAUACGUAGCCGACCUGAGAGGGUAAUCGGCCACAUUGGGACUGAGACACGGCCCAAACUCCUACGGGAGGCAGCAGUAGGGAAUCUUCCACAAUGGACGAAAGUCUGAUGGAGCAACGCCGCGUGAGUGAAGAAGGGUUUCGGCUCGUAAAACUCUGUUGUUAAAGAAGAACAUAUCUGAGAGUAACUGUUCAGGUAUUGACGGUAUUUAACCAGAAAGCCACGGCUAACUACGUGCCAGCAGCCGCGGUAAUACGUAGGUGGCAAGCGUUGUCCGGAUUUAUUGGGCGUAAAGCGAGCGCAGGCGGUUUUUUAAGUCUGAUGUGAAAGC
RNAcentral lists this ribosomal RNA (465 nucleotides) under Lactiplantibacillus plantarum. Its description in RNAcentral is "bacterial SSU rRNA". It matches the Rfam family "Bacterial small subunit ribosomal RNA", at positions 150 to 601 of the family's 1533-position model. The record is from RNAcentral. Lineage: Bacteria; Bacillati; Bacillota; Bacilli; Lactobacillales; Lactobacillaceae.